This 497-nucleotide ribosomal RNA is filed under the name uncultured bacterium. RNAcentral describes it as "partial 16S ribosomal RNA". It matches the Rfam family "Bacterial small subunit ribosomal RNA", at positions 28 to 507 of the family's 1533-position model. The record is from RNAcentral.
GAUGAACGCUGGCGGCGUGCCUAAUACAUGCAAGUCGAGCGAACAGACGAGGAGCUUGCUCCUUUGACGUUAGCGGCGGACGGGUGAGUAACACGUAGGUAACCUACCUAUAAGACUGGGAUAACUUCGGGAAACCGGAGCUAAUACCGGAUAAUAUUUCGAACCGCAUGGUUCGAUAGUGAAAGAUGGCUUUGCUAUCACUUAUAGAUGGACCUGCGCCGUAUUAGCUAGUUGGUAAGGUAACGGCUUACCAAGGCAACGAUACCUAGCCGACCUGAGAGGGUGAUCGGCCACACUGGAACUGAGACACGGUCCAGACUCCUACGGGAGGCAGCAGUAGGGAAUCUUCCGCAAUGGGCGAAAGCCUGACGGAGCAACGCCGCGUGAGUGAUGAAGGUCUUCGGAUCGUAAAACUCUGUUAUUAGGGAAGAACAAACGUGUAAGUAACUGUGCACGUCUUGACGGUACCUAAUCAGAAAGCCACGGCUAACUACGUG